CCCAGACAUGUUUGCCCUUAACCAUCAUAAUUAGAAUGUAGGAUAGGUCUAAUGUGCAAUCACACAAUUCAAAUAGCAGUGUAAUCAACCUAACUAGUAGACAUAAAUCUCAUACAUCAGGACAAAGUUGCAAUAAUCUCCUACAGAACUUGGCAUUUAUAAAUGGGAACUUUUACCUGAAGUCGAGAACAACUGGUGAAGUAUUUCACUGAAACUGUGAAGGUCUAGGGAGGACAUAAUUUUAAUACUUGAUUUCUCAGAACUUUUAGAAAUACUCGGCCUCAGGACUCCCGAUAAAAGGACAGAACUGGAAUUUCAACUUCAAUCCUGCAACUGGGGCUGCAUUGAUAAAGUUUCCCACACAGAAAUCUGAAACACCGAGCAGAAAAAAAAAGUCAUUGCCAUCAGAAAUCCACUGCAGCUCUCAACAUAUAGUAGAUAGGUAACCUGGCAAGCAGCAAAUUAAGAAGCAAAGAUGUUCACUACUCUAGUGUAAAGCGCAUAAAAGGAAGCUUUGUGGACAAACCUGAAGCAGAAAACAAGCAGUGAAAUAAUUCUCCUUUGAGGCUGCUUCACACAUUCUCCUUUCAGAAGGCCUGUGCUUGAAUAACAGACCAUUAUACAGGAUGGGCAACUUACUGAACAUGGAAUGAUAAGAAGUUCUACAGCUGUUGUCUUUCUGUUUAUCAUACAGGUGGGAUAGAGCUGCAGUUCCUUGUAUAAGGCUGUCACGAUUUUCCAGCUUAACCAAUAUUGUUCAAUAAAAACUAUAUUUUAC
Molecule: long non-coding RNA, 778 nt
Filed under: Naja naja (Indian cobra)
Lineage: Eukaryota; Metazoa; Chordata; Lepidosauria; Squamata; Elapidae
Description: lncRNA (ENSNNAG00000011370.1)
Source: RNAcentral